UUAAAUUGAAGAGUUUGAUCAUGGCUCAGAUUGAACGCUGGCGGCAGGCCUAACACAUGCAAGUCGAGC
RNAcentral lists this ribosomal RNA (69 nucleotides) under Klebsiella pneumoniae. Its description in RNAcentral is "partial 16S ribosomal RNA". It matches the Rfam family "Bacterial small subunit ribosomal RNA", at positions 1 to 67 of the family's 1533-position model. RNAcentral also lists the same sequence under 11 other names. The record is from RNAcentral. Lineage: Bacteria; Pseudomonadati; Pseudomonadota; Gammaproteobacteria; Enterobacterales; Enterobacteriaceae.